This 289-nucleotide ribosomal RNA is filed under the name uncultured bacterium. Its description in RNAcentral is "partial 16S ribosomal RNA". It matches the Rfam family "Bacterial small subunit ribosomal RNA", at positions 773 to 1060 of the family's 1533-position model. The record is from RNAcentral.
GUGGAUUAGAUACCCUGGUAGUCCACGCCGUAAACGAUGGAUACUUGUUGUUAGAGGUAUUGACCCCUUUAGUGACGAAGCUAACGCGUUAAGUAUCCCGCCUGGGGAGUACGGUCGCAAGAUUAAAACUCAAAGAAAUUGACGGGGGCCCGCACAAGCGGUGGAGCAUGUGGUUUAAUUCGAUGCAACGCGAAGAACCUUACCUAGGCUUGACAUGUACUGGAAGACUGGCAGAAAUGUCGUCGCUCGCAAGAGUCGGUACACAGGUGCUGCACGGCCGUCGUCAGCU